GCGAGAAGCCCUAUUGGCCCAACACAAGACGUAGUAAACUCUAGAGGGUAGUUCAAGAAUGUGUGCCGGGUCUGUUUGGAUCCCCUCCUCUAAAAUUUAGAGUUAAAGUCUCCAAACAGGUGGUCUAAAAUUAUCAAACUUUAGCCCACCUCAUAUUAGAGCUUUAGAUCUCAAAACAAAGCUAAAGUGUUCUAAAGUUUUUAGAGAAGAGAAUUAUCUCUACUUUCAGUUUUUUUUUUUCAAAAUGCACACAAAGUCAAGUCACUCUACACAUUCCUACAUAUAUAUAAAAUGUGUAGUACACUAAAAAAUCGAUGCUUUUGGUGAAGCAUCCUCAAACUCAGGACCUCUUAUAUCAUAGAUAAACAAUCACUAGAUGUUACUCGAUAUCGAAUUGAAUGUCUGAAUCUCGCAUCAUUCGUUCUAGAUCAUGUCAUCUCAAACAUCCAAAAUGUUGUUCUCAUAGUGAAUGAUAAGCAGAUAAUUUCUAUAGAAGAUAAGUUCAAUUUCAAUACAUAAAAAAAACUCGCAAAGGUCCAUGUUACACAUUCCCUAUUCAAAACAUCUCAAAAUGCAUAGAUAUACAUUUAAUGGAUCCUGCGAUAAUAAGUGACCAUACAAUGGACAAUGGACAGUGGUAACUUUGGUUAUCAUUAUGACUUACUCUCUCUGUCUUACUAAAAGUGUCGUUUUUUACUUUUAGACUUCUUAUUUAACCGUUUGUCUUAUUUAAAAAUUUUAUAUAAAUAUUAUUUAUUUUGUUAUGAUUUGUUUUAUUAAUAAAAUGCUUUAACAAUGAUUUAUUUAUUUUACUAUUUAUAUAAUUUUUUGAAUAAGACGAACGAUCAAAUAAGAAAUCUAAAAGUAAAAAACGACACUUUUAAUGGGAUAAGAGAGUAGUUGUUAUUAUUGGGUGAACGAAUAAUCGAUGGUGUUUCCAAAUUUCAAAAAAAAGAAAAAAUAAAUGAGCAUCUCCAAGCCAAAAAAAACUAGUUAAAUUUAUUGAUUUAGCUACUCUCUAAAAUAGAUUUGACAAAAAAAUAUCAAAGUACUCCAACAGACUCUGUAAAGAAUGGUUAAUGAGGUAUGCUAUCCAAGAAGAGCGAUUAAGGUGAGAUAUAGAGUACUAAAUUUGAAAAAUCGUUUACAGAAUCUGUUGGAAAUAUUUUUUCUUCAACAAUAACUAAAUUUAUUUUUAGAAAAUGAUUUGGCUAAUCUUUUAGAGAUGCUCUUAUCAAUUGAAAGUUAUACUAUGUAUUACUGCCCGUUUUAAAGCACCCGGUAGUAAUUAAUAUAGGGGCCGCAUUUACUAUGGGUAUUGUAGUAGAGGCAGUUUUGUCUUCGCAAAAUGUAAUAUAGAUGCUCACAUGCACAUGAACACCAAUUCAAGCCAAUAUGAUCGGCUAAUCGUUGGAUCAUGGAAUAUGGAUGCCUUCACGCACUAGUUUAUCUACAAACUCCAUUACGGAGUAGCUCUAUAAAAAACUAGAGUUCAUAGAGCACAUCUUCAGGUACUCUUACAACUCUACUUUUUUAUACGUAAAACUAAAACAGAGCUAAAAAACGUAUAGCGGAGUAGCCGAAACACCCCUAUAGUAUUUUGUUAAGAUUAUAUGUUUCAGGUUUUUGUUCUGAUCUGAGGGUAGCGUGUUACUACUACCUAAGACUCUAGCUAAUGACAAGAUGAAUGAAUCAGAUUAAGUAAUUAAUUAACUGCUCCUCUGUUUUAUUAGGUGGACGAAGGCUUCACAGUCACGGCGGAGGAGAUCGUUGGCAGACUCAAGUCUGCAGCAAUAAUGCACCAGCAAAGCCGCUGCAACAGCACUGAAGAAACUGCAUGAAACUAGUUACUAUAUAAAUUAAAGGCAGCAAAAGCCUGCACGUGAUUAAUUUAUAUAUAGUAUUGUAUAUAUUUAUGCGUAUAUAUAAACAAACGCUAUGUCGCCAUGUCGGUAUUUUUCUCCCUUUUUCUUUCAUUAAUGAUAUAUAACAUAUGUUCGGACGGAUAGACGCCGUUCUCCGCUCAUUUCCGCAUCCGCUCAUUUCUCGCCCACUUUCCCCCAUCAUGGUAUCUCCGCACCACGCUGCGACGCUCCUCUGUCAAGCCGUGCUCCCGCGCCCCACCCCCACGCACGUCCCACGAGCGUGUGCCCCCCCCCGCUGGUUCCUUCCUCCUCCAGUUCCAGUGCAGCGGCGCCCGUGGCCACAGCUCCAGCACGGGCGACCAGCACAACCUCCUCCUCCCCUAUGUUCCUCAAUCCUCGGCAGCUCCCUCCCCCACCCCGACGUCCUUCUUCCCCCACCUCGGCGGCGCCCCUCCCCUCACACCAACGUUCUCCCCCACCGGGAUCCUCCAACGCUCACAGAUCUGGCGGCCAUGGCACUCCCUGCGCUAGGAUCUCUCUCUUCCCACCCUAUGUUGCAAUUUGUUUCAGAAGGUUCAGAGGUAUGUUGCAGUUGAAUUACAUGGAUGUUGCAAAAGUAGAUCGGAGGAUAUUGAAUAUGUUGCAUAUGAUUCAAUUGUUUUAAAGGCAUGUUGCAAUAGUAUGUUUUCGAGUGUUUUAGAUAUUUCAGCGGUAUGUUUCGUCUGUGUUUUCCAGACACGCGUUUCAAUUGUGUCUUUUGGAUGUUAUAUAUGUUCUACACAUAUGUUGCAUAUGUGUUUAUUUGGAUGUUUGCUUAUAGUUGCAAUGAUUUCCAGAUUUCCAAGUGUGUUUCAGUUGUGUUCUCUCAAGUGUUUCAUAAGUAUGUUUCAAAUGUUUCAACUGCCUUUAAACUUAUGUUGCAACUAUUGUUUUUGGAUGUUUCAAAAGUACAUCGGGUAUUUUAUCUUUCUUCUCGCUUUUUCUGCGCCGCCUCAUGUAACAUCCCGGAUUUUUACGUAAACCAAAAAUACGAGCUUUUUAAAAUUUUUCCUGUAAUCGUGUGAAGCAUAUAGUUUUUAGAUCUAAAUCGAUCCUAACCCGCUAACAAAUCGUGGCAUACAUAUAGAUUUGUUUCUAGGUGAGUGCUUUUGUUCGUGAGUCGGUUUGGAGUUUAGUCUUGUUUAGGGUUUUGAGUUUCUUUUGGAGUGCACAAAUCCGUAGCAAAGUCUUCCUAAAUCUUUGUGGAGCCUACCUCAAAGUCGAAGCGAAUCCCUUCUCAACUUUUUGUUGGAGUAUGUCUCAAACUCCAUCGGAUUUUAUCCGAUCUCCUUUUGUUUUCAUUCCUUGUGUUUAAUCAAAAAUGGAAAACCCCUUUCUUUUCCCUUGGGCCGAAUUUCUUUUCUUCUCCCAUUUGGCCCAACUCGCGCAGGAGCCUUGCCAAGCCCAGCAGCCGGCCCACCCGAAACCCCCGCGCCCCCCCUCCUGAACCACCUAGCUCAGCCUGGGCUCCCUUUCCUCCCCUCUCGCGUGGCCGACCUUGCCCUAGGCCCAUCCCGCGCACUAAGGCCUAGUCGGCUUCUCCUCCCCUCCCGCGUGGCCCACCUCGCCCCGGCCCAAGGCCCAGCCGCGAGCCUCCUCCUCCCCUGCGCCCAACCCUAGAGUGGGGAGCGCCUGCUCCCCAGGACAGCCGCCGCCGCCGCCUGAUGCUGCGCCCGCGCCUGCCCUCUCUCCUCGGCGUUCGUGCCGAUGCGCGCCGCGUGUCCUGCUCGCGGCACGGACGUCGGAGAUGGCCGCUUCCGCCCCGAAGCCCUAGCGCCCGCGCUAUAAGAACCGAGCCGCCAGCCGCCGCCCUUCUCCCCCGCGCAACCGCCGCUCUGCUUGCGCGCGCCCCUGCACCCUCAGCGCCGCGACACGCACACGCCCGAGCCCCGUGCGCGCCUGCCCUCUCUCCUCGGCGCGCGCCCGCAUCCACUGGCCUCGCCCUGAUGCUGCCCGCCGAGCCGCCGCCGCGACGCACCCGCGCGCCCGAGCACCCCGACGCGUCCACGCCCUCGCCGAGCAGCAGCAGAGCCGCGGCCACGGCCUCGCCCUCGGUGCCCUGCGACGCCGAGCACCGCCGCGCCGAGCUCCGUCCGGCGUCCACGGCCCCGACCUCGCCAGGAGCCGCUGACCCCCUCUUCGUCGAGCACCUGACCGCUGUGGCCGCGACACGCCUCGUCCUCGACCCCGCCGCGCCGAGCUUCGACUGCGACCUUGCCCAGGAGCCCGCGGCGUCCCCAUCCUCGCCCGCGAGCUCUCCCCCGAGCCCCGUCUUCGGCCAGCACCGCGAGCACGGCGCCCCUCCGCGUCCGCGUCCUCGACCUCGCCACGACCUCGACGCCGAGCAGGAGCUCCGCACCCCCGCCGGAGCACGACGCCACGACCACGACCGUGCCGCGCCAAGCACUGCGACCCCGACCCCGACGCAGUUCUGCGCCACCCCGCGACGUCACCCACACCCUCACCACCAGCACCGGCCUCGCCCCCAAGCCUAGGGCCGCGCGCGACGCCGGCUCCGGUCACGGCCGACCUGAAGCCCGCGGCGUCCACGUCCGCGCUCAGGAGCCGCGACCACCGAGCGCGACGUCGGGCCCGACGCGUCCCCGUCCUCGCCACGGUCACCGCGUCAAGCUCUCGUCCCUGUCUUCGCCAAGCCAAACCCCCGGUGAGCUCGCCAAGACCAAAGUUUUCCCCUUCCUGCGUUCACCAAGCUGAGACCGGCCUUCGCGCCACAUUUCAUCCAUUGUCGCAGGGAAGCUUUGGUCCUGUGGUGCUUUUGCCAAAGAUGUGAUGCCUUCUCGCUGCCAGCCGCGCCUCCAGCCGAGCCGCAGCGAGCAGAAGCCAGCCAAGAGCAACAGCAAGCCCGUAGUAGAUCUUCGUCCAAACAGCAAGGUCGAACCUUGAACCUAGCCGACAUCGUCUCCGACGUUGGCAAAACCCUUGCCGUUCAUUUCGAUAUCAUACAUGCCAUGUAUCUUGCUCAUGUAUGCAUUAUGAUCUAUCUGCAUGACCAUUUGUUCAUCUAUCCAUGUCAUGCAUUUGUUACAUGAUUAUUCAUCUCAUAUCUCGUUUAAUGCGGGACCUAUCUUCGUCUAUAUCUCUGCCUGUGCCGUGCCUUCGUGCCGGUCUAUUUAUCUAUCUCUAUCUCUUUUGGUCGCUAUGGAAAUGUGCUACUCCGAGUCGUCGUCUUGUUAGUAUUGCAAUUUGUGCUUUUGUUCUUGUCGUUGUGGACCGUGCCGUCGAGCCGGUUGAGAGAGUGACGUGUUUGGAUGUUGCGAUCGCGAGUUCGUCUCGCCACGGCCGUAAUGCCGAGCAUGUCCCUUCUCUCGUAUUUCUGUUGUUCCUUCUUUUGUUAUUUGCAUGCCUGAGGACCGAGCCUUCGAGCCGGUUAGGGAAAAUGGUGGAGCGUUCGAUCAUUUCGAUCGUGGGUUCGUCCCGCCGUGAUCGCGAUGCCGAGCGUAACUCAUUCCCUGUGAUUAGUUGACUUCGCUGCGCUACGGUCGUUAGCUCCUAUUCCCGUCCCUCGAACGUGGUCAUCGUGGACUCGAUGUCGUUAACGACGCGGUUCUUACCCGCACACUCGAGACCUAAAUGACCUAGUCUAGUGGGAUACGAAUUAGGGGACAACCUUCGUAGAACUAUCGGAGAAACUCGUUAGGUGAAGCUCAUGGCCGCGAGUCCACCUUGCCAUGGCCAUUGGGCUUUACCCCAUUUCUCCCGUGUUUAUCCUAACCACCUCGUAUGCUUGUACCACUUCGACUAUAGCAUUCCCUCGGACCUAGCGGUGACAACCACAUCGCUAUGGGCCUUAGGAAUAGCCUUGUGCUGAUUUAGAUGCACAGUCAUGGUGCCCUACGAGUGGGUUGGGAUCGUGGGGUCGUAUUCCUUUUAUCCAACCGUCGUUGUUCCAUGAUGAGUUGGUCGAAAGAGUAUGGACUCCAUUCUUCUUCUCUCUUGUUCUCAAUCCCGUCGAUCCAGUAAGAUGGGGAUUAAGCCCCUUUUGCUUGUUUGAUGUUUUGUUUCCAAUCCCGCGAUUCCCGCCGUUGCUAUGGCGAGCGGAUCAAAGGAAGGUGAAUCCCGUGUCUUUUCCCGCCUUUUUGGUUCUUCGUGCUUAAACUCUUGUAUGCUUGUACCUAUAUCGAUCGUAGCAUUUCUUUGGUUCUUGUGGUGACAACCGCACCGCAAAGAACCUUAGUGAUGUCAUAGUGCAUUUAGUGCACCUAGGUUGUGGUACCCUACAAGUGGUUUGAGUACUCGUGUUCCUUAUGUGUCACUCUUUCUAAUCCCCCGUCUCUUACCAUGGCGAGUGGAUGGGAAGAAGUAGACCACUCCCCUUUUCUUCUCUCCUUGUUCCACCCUCUCUUGGCUCUCGCCAACUACAAUGGCGUAUGGAUUGAGAGAGACCGGAACUUCGCGUGCUCAUAGUCUUUUCGAUUCCUGUCGAUCUCCGUGACGCUUGGAUCGAAGAGCCACUAGCUAUGGUGUUUGCUUAUGAUAAGUUAGGGUCUAAGCCAAUUAUUAAAGUCGUACAGGUUGACUUAGUCGACCCAGGAAGUACCGGCUAGGCUAAGACUCCAGCUUGUACUUAGUGAACAACCAUUCCCAUUUCUUUUAGCCCAAAGAUCGGACAUCCGCCGAGAGGGCUAAGCCGUUUUCCUUUCGUUGCUCUUUUAGUGUAGUUGUUCCUCAGUGUUAUGUCGUCUCUUUUUGUAGUCUUUCGAGGUCUAGUGGUUUGAUUGUUUUGCCUUGUUUGUCGCUUUCGAGGUAGUCGCUUCGAGGUUAGCGUUGAUCGGACCAGGACCAGUUGAAGGAAGAACAUGCGGAAAGGAGGAUCUUGGAUGAGUACAACUACAAGUGAACUGAGGAUCUUGGAAAUGUCACUCGACAGGUGCCACGUCCCACCCAACCUCGUAGAAUCCUAUUAGACAUGCAAUAUUACAGAUGCUAGUGCUUUACUUUUAUGCAAAUGAACUGUGAUAGGUUGCAUGGUAGAAAUGCUUGUGAGCCAUUGCCUUGUUGCAACCUAUAACCCUCGCACACCCGCUGUUAGGUUAGAUGCUUGCAUACUACUUGCUACUGCUUCUACUUCGCAUUAUAUCUGUGAUGUGAUGCAAUGUGGGAGAUUGGAUGUGAGUGGAUAAGGCACGUGGUGCCAAUAAAUGGAUAAAGAAAUGGAUAAUGGAUUUGGGGAGAUCUUGGCGUGUGUCUUGGGUGUGUGGUGAGGGUCGAGUCGACCGAACAGGAUCUACGACGAGUCUUGGGACAAGUCUUGCCGGAGGACGCUACCUGGGCGUUCUCCAUGAGAGUUACCUGUGGCGGGUACAUGUGACAGGGAGAGGUCCCGGAGUGGAGUGUCUUCGUGGGACGAAGCGCCGGGAUGGGAGGUGCUGUUUAGCACGGGGUAGCCGGAUGUCCUGUCGAGCGGGGCAUCGGUUGGCCCCUCGUGAAGAUGUCCUGUUUGGUCACCCUAAGGACUGAGAUGUUCUGUGGACCGGGUCUUAGGAAGCCUUACACGCCACUCGCCUUAUUAUGGUGCGGGACGGAUGUACGACCAGCUAGUGCGGUGCCACUACUACUAGGUUGUUAGCGGAUAGUGUAGGGAGGUACGGGCAUGAGGACCCACACCCUCCUAAGACAGCGUAGUGACCUUUGGGGCCCGGUACUACGCCUCACAGUCUCAGCAUGCCGGUGGUACUCCGGUAUGGUCCCAGUUCUGAGUGGUAGGGUGGCAUCGUAUUUAGUUGGGAGGCAGCUCGGAAUCAGCCUAGACGGGGGCCACCGUCGAUGAUGGUGAUCUUGUGGUUAGUGUAAACCUCUACAGAGUUUGGUUGAUCGAUCGAUACAUAUGCCGAUUCGUCGGCUAUGGACCUUUCCUAAGUACAGCUUCACUUGACUAGAGAGAGAGGAGUCCUUUCUACCUUCCCCUGGGUUUGUGUUGGAUCCGGCGUUGGCCGUUGAGGCAAGGCACGAGCGGGAGUCGUACUUGCCGCCUAGAGAGUGAGAGUGUGGUGAGAUGUGUGUGAUGGAUGGAUGGAUGUGUGGUUGAGAUGGAUUAAAACCUGAUGAAUUAUUAUUAUUAAAUAUUGAUGAACUUGCAUAGGGAAAACUACAGCCAUAUAUAUAUAGGCCUCUUGAUCUACCCUUUGCAUUCCACUUACCACAAAGCUACGCAAAAGCAUAGGGUGGGAGCCAGUGGCCAGUACAAAUCGUACUGAAAAUUGUUCGGCAGGUUUUGAACGUGGUCUAUGGCGAUAACUAUGGAGAAUAGAAGGAUUAGGUGGUCUCGUUCCUGCGCUCAAGUUUGGUUCGGAGAUGAAGGCUACGCCCGCUGAUAAACUACGCCGACUCUGAUGAUUGCCCGUGAAGGAGGAGACUUCACCGAUGACGCGCUAUAUCGACUCUGAUAAAGACCCGUGUGUGUUUUCGCUAGAAAAACGAUGUAAUAGGCUUGUCGACCAAGUGUUGUAAAGCAAAUGUGUUGUAAUCUUGUUUCUCACGAUGUAUGACUACGAUAACAGCUGAUAUAUGAUAAUGCGAUGGUUCAAAUUUUUGAAUUAUCACAUUAUAAUUCGAAUCUGUGGAUUUUUCGCUUUGUGGAAAAAUCUAGGUCGUUUCAGUUGGUAUCAGAGCCAUACUUGACCCUAGGACGAGACCCUUAGUACCAAACACUAGUUUAGAAGCCAAACAUUCUAUCUUUUGUAGAGUUAUAGAUGCUAACACUUGUUUUCCCCCUCCGCCUUGAAUUCUGCUGCUAACUGACCUCCCUGUUUCAUAAAGUUGACCGUUGUAAUCUUUUCCUAUACCCGCCCACGCUAGAUCGAUAGUCGUGUGAGACUUUGAAGGUCUGUGAGUCGCCUCAAGUCAACACUAUGCAUUAGGAGUUGUAAUGCUGUUUGAGUGCUUGGAUCUUAUGUUGUUGUGUUUCUUCGGCUUCUUGUUGUCUAAGUGUAGGUCAUAGAACCUGUUUUAUGCGAGAAAGACUCUGGAUCCCGUCCAACCUAGUCGGCUAAACCUAAGACCGUCCGAGACUAGAUAGGUGAUCCUGGCUAACAGAGCUGAAAAAGGGUAUAAAGCUGCUGCAUUAUGUCUUGCCCAUCUAUUUCAAAGCUGUUUUUGGCUUCCAACUAAACUUGUCUUCAAAAUUGCCCCUUAGGUUGAAAAAAAAAUUUCUCUCCUUUUUGGUUAAAAUAUUUCCCCUUUUUAACAAAAGCAUCUCUACUUCAAAUGGAAAAGUGUUUCAAAACUCUCUCGAUAUCUUCCCUUUUUACAAAUAAAGCAAUUUUAACUCCUUUCUCAACUUAAUUUUAUUCAAAAGCUAUUUAUGAAAUGAUUUAAAAAAAAGUCACCUUGAAAAAGGUAUGACAAACCAUCUUCUGAAAAACAAAAGUCUUGCUUUUUCAUGUUUCCAAACCAAAGACUUUGGCUUACUUUUGUUUUAAAGGUCUUUGAUUUUAUCUCAAGAGCCAAAUUCCUUUUUAAAAAAAAAAUCAAACUUGUCUUAAAAGAAAAAGGAAUUGCUAGUGAUUUAUUAAACAAAAACCAUUGCGAAAAGAUUUUUGUUUGCGGCCUUCCAAGAGUUUAGCAAAAACAAAAUGAACUUACAAGUUUUAAAAGAAAACGCUCUUGUUGUCAAGACUUUAUCUUUCAAAAUGAGAAAUGAUUUCUAGUCAUUUUCAAAACUAGUUUGUUUAAUUCAAAUAAAUAAAUUAAAAAAAGGGGCAACGCCUUGUAUUUGAAAGCUAAAAGAGUUUCAAAAUCUCUUGAUUUGAAAUCUUUUAUAACAAAAUCUUCAAACGAUUUGGUUUUCAAAACUUGCAUUGAUUUCAACCCCCUUCAAAAGCUCUCUUCAAUUUCAAGCCUCAAAAAAAACUGACUUUGUAAAAGCGCUCUCACUCUAUUUUUGAAACCUGUUUUUCCGAAAAACAUUCCUUUCAAAAGCUUUUUGCAAAAAGUGAUGCAUGAAAAACAGCUGUGAAAGCCAACAACCCUAGCAACCCUAAGCUCGCCAUACCCCUCCUUUGACCGGAUGCUAGUUCUUGGAAGAGUAUCAUGCCAGUAAACAAAGAGUUUUGAGCCAGAAGAGCUAGACAACUAACAAUAGUCUCAUCUUCAAGAGCCAGAUGUACAUAAACCAGAUGAGGUUCUUGGAUACCCAUCGCCUCGGUGUAAGAAUUUGGAUACCCAACACCCACGACUGAGCCUUGGAUACACCCAGAACAUGACUCACUCCCAUUUUGGAAAAGGUUUGUGGAGCGGUCAUACUGAAAGUGAAACAACUCAGAAGUAAGAAGAACUUCGGGAAUAGCACCCUUGCUUCUUCAUCGACCGGGCAACGCCUAAAAUCUCGGGGACGAGAUUCCUGUAAGGAGGGUGGACUGUAACAUCCCGGAUUUUUACGUAAACCAAAAAUACGAGCUUUUUAAAAUUUUUCCUGUAAUCGUGUGAAGCAUAUAGUUUUUAGAUCUAAAUCGAUCCUAACCCGCUAACAAAUCGUGGCAUACAUAUAGAUUUGUUUCUAGGUGAGUGCUUUUGUUCGUGAGUCGGUUUGGAGUUUAGUCUUGUUUAGGGUUUUGAGUUUCUUUUGGAGUGCACAAAUCCAUAGCAAAGUCUUCCUAAAUCUUUGUGGAGCCUACCUCAAAGGCGAAGCGAAUCCCUUCUCAACUUUUUGUUGGAGUACGUCUCAAACUCCAUCGGAUUUUAUCCGAUCUCCUUUUGUUUUCAUUCCUUGUGUUUAAUCAAAAAUGGAAAACCCCUUUCUUUUCCCUUGGGCCGAAUUUCUUUUCUUCUCCCAUUUGGCCCAACUCGCGCAGGAGCCUUGCCAAGCCCAGCAGCCGGCCCACCCGAAACCCCCGCGCCCCCCCUCCUGAACCACCUAGCUCAGCCUGGGCUCCCUUUCCUCCCCUCUCGCGUGGCCCACCUUGCCCUAGGCCCAUCCCGCGCACUAAGGCCUAGUCGGCUUCUCCUCCCCUCCCGCGUGGCCCACCUCGCCCCGGCCCAAGGCCCAGCCGCGAGCCUCCUCCUCCCCUGCGCCCAACCCUAGAGUGGGGAGCGCCUGCUCCCCAGGACAGCCGCCGCCGCCGCCUGAUGCUGCGCCCGCGCCUGCCCUCUCUCCUCGGCGUUCGUGCCGAUGCGCGCCGCGUGUCCUGCUCGCGGCACGGACGUCGGAGAUGGCCGCUUCCGCCCCGAAGCCCUAGCGCCCGCGCUAUAAGAACCGAGCCGCCAGCCGCCGCCCUUCUCCCCCGCGCAGCCGCCGCUCUGCUUGCGCGCGCCCCUGCACCCUCAGCGCCGCGACGCGCACACGCCCGAGCCCCGUGCGCGCCUGCCCUCUCUCCUCGGCGCGCGCCCGCAUCCACGGGCCUCGCCCUGAUGCUGCCCGCCGAGCCGCCGCCGCGACGCACCCGCGCGCCCGAGCACCCCGACGCGUCCACGCCCUCGCCGAGCAGCAGCAGAGCCGCGGCCACGGCCUCGCCCUCGGUGCCCUGCGACGCCGAGCACCGCCGCGCCGAGCUCCGUCCGGCGUCCAUGGCCCCGACCUCGCCAGGAGCCGCUGACCCCCUCUUCGUCGAGCACCUGACCGCCGUGGCCGCGACACGCCUCGUCCUCGACCCCGCCGCGCCGAGCUUCGACUGCGACCUUGCCCAGGAGCCCGCGGCGUCCCCAUCCUCGCCCGCGAGCUCUCCCUCGAGCCCCGUCUUCGGCCAGCACCGCGAGCACGGCGCCCCUCCGCGUCCGCGUCCUCGACCUCGCCACGACCUCGACGCCGAGCAGGAGCUCCGCACCCCCGCCGGAGCACGACGCCACGACCACGACCGUGCCGCGCCAAGCACUGCGACCCCGACCCCGACGCAGUUCUGCGCCACCCCGCGACGUCGCCCACGCCCUCACCACCAGCCCCGACCUCGCCCCCAAGCCCAGGGCCGCGCGCGACGCCGGCUCCGGUCACGGCCGACCUGAAGCCCGCGGCGUCCACGUCCGCGCUCAGGAGCCGCGACCACCGAGCGUGACGUCGGGCCCCGACGCGUCCCCGUCCUCGCCACGGUCACCGCGUCAAGCUCUCAUCCCUGUCUUCGCCAAGCCAAACCCCCGGUGAGCUCGCCAAGACCAAAGUUUUCCCCUUCCUGCGUUCACCAUGCUGAGACCGGCCUUCGCGCCACAUUUCAUCCACUGUCGCAGGGAAGCUUUGGUCCCGUGGUGCUUUUGCCAAAGAUGUGAUGCCUUCUCGCUGCCAGCCGCGCCACCAGCCGAGCCGCAGCGAGCAGAAGCCAGCCAAGAGCAGCAGCAAGCCCACAGUAGAUCUUCGUCCAAACAGCAAGGUCGAACCUUGAACCUAGCCGACAUCGUCUCCGACGUUGGCAAAACCCUUGCCGUUCAUUUCGAUAUCAUACAUGCCAUGUAUCUUGCUCAUGUAUGCAUUAUGAUCUAUCUGCAUGACCAUUUGUUCAUCUAUCCAUGUCAUGCACUUGUUACAUGAUUAUUCAUCUCAUAUCUCGUUUAAUGCGCGAUCUAUCUUCGUCUAUAUCUCUGCCUGUGCCGUGCCUUCGUGCCGGUCUAUUUAUCUAUCUCUAUCUCUUUUGGUCGCUAUGGAAAUGUGCUACUCCGAGUCGUCGUCUUGUUAGUGUUGCAAUUUGUGCUUUUGUUCUUGUCGUUGUGGACCGUGCCGUCGAGCCGGUUGAUAGAGUGACGUGUUUGGAUGUUGCGAUCGCGAGUUCGUCUCGCCAUGGCCGUAAUGCUGAGCAUGUCCCUUCUCUCGUAUUUCUGUUGUUCCUUCUUUUGUUAUUUGCAUGCCUGAGGACCGAGCCUUCGAGCCGGUUAGGGAAAAUGGUGGAGCGUUCGAUCAUUUCGAUCGUGGGUUCGUCCCGCCGUGAUCGCGAUGCCGAGCGUAACUCAUUCCCUGUGAUUAGUUGACUUCGUUGCGCUACGGUCGUUAGCUCCUAUUCCCGUCCCUCGAACGUGGUCAUCGUGGACUCGAUGUCGUUAACGACGCGGUUCUUACCCGCACACUCGAGACCUAAAUGACCUAGUCUAGUGGGAUACGAAUUAGGGGACAACCUUCGUAGAACUAUCGGAGAAACUCGUUAGGUGAAGCUCAUGGCCGCGAGUCCACCUUGCCAUGGCCAUUGGGCUUUACCCCAUUUCUCCCGUGUUUAUCCUAACCAACUCGUAUGCUUGUACCACUUCGACUAUAGCAUUCCCUCGGACCUAGCGGUGACAACCACAUCGCUAUGGGCCUUAGGAAUAGCCUUGUGCUGAUUUAGAUGCACAGUCAUGGUGCCCUACAAGUGGGUUGGGAUCGUGGGGUCGUAUUCCUUUUAUCCAACCGUCGUUGUUCCAUGAUGAGUUGGUCGAAAGAGUAUGGACUCCAUUCUUCUUCUCUCUUGUUCUCAAUCCCGUCGAUCCAGUAAGAUGGGGAUUAAGCCCCUUUUGCUUGUUUGAUGUUUUGUUUCCAAUCCCGCGAUUCCCGCCGUUGCUAUGGCGAGCGGAUCAAAGGAAGGUGAAUCCCGUGUCUUUUCCCGCCUUUUUGGUUCUUCGUGCUUAAACUCUUGUAUGCUUGUACCUAUAUCGAUCGUAGCAUUUCUUUGGUUCUUGUGGUGACAACCGCACCGCAAAGAACCUUAGUGAUGUCAUAGUGCAUUUAGUGCACCUAGGUUGUGGUACCCUACAAGUGGUUUGAGUACUCGUGUUCCUUAUGUGUCACUCUUUCUAAUCCCCCGUCUCUUACCAUGGCGAGUGGAUGGGAAGAAGUAGACCACUCCCCUUUUCUUCUCUCCUUGUUCCAC
Molecule: long non-coding RNA, 13681 nt
Filed under: Sorghum bicolor (sorghum)
Lineage: Eukaryota; Viridiplantae; Streptophyta; Magnoliopsida; Poales; Poaceae
Description: long non-coding RNA (SBIC_LNC011205)
Source: RNAcentral